RNA transcript from Daphnia magna, 1828 nucleotides. RefSeq lists it as uncharacterized. The record is from RefSeq and is a predicted model, not a curated record. Lineage: Eukaryota; Metazoa; Arthropoda; Branchiopoda; Diplostraca; Daphniidae. The transcript has 4 exons.
AAUAAUGUGAUGGCAAGUAUUUUCUCUUUAUGCAGCACAACAAAUAGCUGACGAAACGGGUUGGCUACUGAAACGACAAUGGGAUUUUUUCGCCGCCGAUGUAAUAAACAGUGCAGUGCCAGUACAAGACACAGUUCACAUAGGCGCAAAAUUUCGAACGCGGUUACUGAAAAGAGACCGAGCUACAUUUCUCACAAUAGGUAAAGGGAUUGCUUCGGUGUCUGACCUUGAACAACUCUUAACAGAAGUUACCAAAGGGCAGCACCACUUAAAAAAUGGUGAUCUAAAUUUGCACGACAAAAUGAAUUACGAUGCUGUAAGAAGACUGUGUGACCCUUGUGUCACUGAUAUUCUGUGCGACAAAGUAGCAGGUUCAGAAGUAACGUGCUUCUAUCUUAAGCUAAUGAGACUAAUAACAGCAAGUUAUUUGGAUAAAAGCUUAUCACCACUAGACAGAAUAUAUGGAAUAUGGUAUUCUUGUCUCGCUUUACGGUAUUGGCGACAUUGGCUUCAAGAAAACGGAUACAAACUAGAUAUUAAUUUCAUCACCCUCAACGCGUACAUGUGUGUUGAGAUAAAUGCCCACUCCUUAGUCCUCAUAUCAAGGAGACUAAGAGAGAAUGGAACUCCUCAUCUGUUUCGGCCGUGGCAUUUUGGGAGUCAGAGCUGCGAAUCUUUUUUCGACUUGUCCGGUCGUUGACUUCAACAGAAUCGACCCAAGUAAAUUUAAGUGGAAAAGGUUUUUUCAGUCGUAGCGAGAGAGCGGAUGCCGCAAACCAACUUCUGGGAGAAGGAGAAAACGAUGGAGUUUAUUUCCCGAGGUUUACUCAUGCUUUUGAAGACCAGAGCCAAGACGAUGGCAAAAAUAUUUCUUUCAAUCUUCCUUCUCAUUUACCCUCCGAUGAGGAAAUCGAACGUAUAAUUCGCAAGGCCAUGGUAGAUGUUGACCAUCAGUUUCAAUUAUUAGGUGUGAAAAUGAGAGGAAAAAAGAAAUUUAUGUUCAAUCAAGAACUAGUUCAACGAAUCAAUGUGUCUCGAAAAGAUAAGGAACACCCUGCAGCAUUGAUUGAUAGCAACUUGCUGUUGGAGUUGGAUGACUCCGGUGCAGAAGAAACAGCGGUCGAGGAAAACGUCCAGCCAUGUCCUGACGCGGGUGAUGAAUAUGACAUAGAUGUACUGAAGUCUCUUGGAAUGGCCCAGCUAAGAGAUUUUUCUCAUUUGGUUUCUCGCCAGCUUGAGUCUAGCGCUUUUGCUAGUAUCAUUUGUAAUAAUGGAUCGCAAAUUGUCGUUAAAAAAGCGCGGUCGUGUGGUUUUGUGAAAAUUCAGUUCGGCGAUUAAGCAAUGAUCGCACUUUACGAGUCAUGCAGUUGGCAAAUUUUUCCGAAAGAAGAAAAUUAAAAAUAACUUCUGUUUCAACUCGAAAAGUUGUACAAAUUGGAGACUGGUGUCUUUUUCGGAAUUUGGAAGGGAAUGGUUUUUUUUUGGGGCGAGUUCUCUCUUUUGCAUACUUUAACAGCACUAAAAAAUCUAUUUCCAUGUUUGAAUGGAUAGUUGAUCAAAAAGACCAUGAGGUUGGGGUACUCUGCAUAUGGUAUAAACUAGAUAUAAAUCAAUCUAUAUUUUCGGGAAAAUUAAUCGAAGUACAUGUCCAUCAUGGUUUUCACCCUUGUGUUUCGUAUAUUUGUAGUUGUCCUUCUCCAACAUUUACGUUUGAUGCCCAAGGUUCAAAACAAUUGUUUUUUACCAAUGCAACAGUUAACCAACUAUCAAAUUUUCUCAAGGACAUGACAUUAUCAAGGGACUAAAUAAACUAUUCCGACUCACUACA